UAACACGUAAACAACCUGCCUUCAGGAUGGGGACAACAGACGGAAACGACUGCUAAUACCGAAUAAGUUCCAAGAGCCGCAUGGCCCAUGGAAGAAAAGGUGGCCUCUACCUGUAAGCUAUCGCCUGAAGAGGGGUUUGCGUCUGAUUAGCUGGUUGGAGGGGUAACGGCCCACCAAGGCGACGAUCAGUAGCCGGUCUGAGAGGAUGAACGGCCACACUGGAACUGAGACACGGUCCAGACUCCUACGGGAGGCAGCAGUGGGGAAUCUUCCGCAAUGGGCGAAAGCCUGACGGAGCAACGCCGCGUGAGUGAUGACGGCCUUCGGGUUGUAAAACUCUGUGAUCCGGGACGAAAAGGCAGAGUGCGAAGAACAAACUGCAUUGACGGUACCGGAAAAGCAAGCCACGGCUAACUACGUGCCAGCAGCCGCGGUAAUACGUAGGUGGCAAGCGUUGUCCGGAAUUAUUGGGCGUAAAGCGCGCGCAGGCGGCUUCCCAAGUCCCUCUUAAAAGUGCGGGGCUUAACCCCGUGAUGGGAAGGAAACUGGGAAGCUGGAGUAUCGGAGAGGAAAGUGGAAUUCCUAGUGUAGCGGUGAAAUGCGUAGAGAUUAGGAAGAACACCGGUGGCGAAGGCGACUUUCUGGACGAAAACUGACGCUGAGGCGCGAAAGCGUGGGGAGCAAACAGGAUUAGAUACCCUGGUAGUCCACGCCGUAAACGAU
Molecule: ribosomal RNA, 723 nt
Filed under: uncultured bacterium
Lineage: Bacteria
Description: bacterial SSU rRNA
Rfam family: Bacterial small subunit ribosomal RNA
Source: RNAcentral